GAGUUUGAUCGUGGCUCAGAUUGAACGCUGGCGGCAGGCCUAACACAUGCCAAGUCGAGCGGUAGAGGGAAGCUUGCUUCUCUUGAGAGCGGGCGGACGGGUGAGUAACUGCCUGGGAAUCUGCCUGGUAGUGGGGGAUAACGCUCGGAAACGGACGCUAAUACCGCAUACGUCCUACGGGAGAAAGCAGGGGACCUUCGGGCCUUGCGCUAUCACGAUGAGCCUAGGUCGGAUUAGCUAGUUGGUGAGGUAA
This 253-nucleotide ribosomal RNA is filed under the name uncultured bacterium. RNAcentral describes it as "partial 16S ribosomal RNA". It matches the Rfam family "Bacterial small subunit ribosomal RNA", at positions 9 to 260 of the family's 1533-position model. The record is from RNAcentral.